AUUGAACGCUAGCGGCACGCUUAACACAUGCAAGUCGAACGGUAACGGGACUAGCUUGCUAGUUGCCGACGAGUGGCGGACGGGUGAGUAACGCGUAGGAAUCUACCCUGGAGAGCGGGACAACUUGGGGAAACUCAAGCUAAUACCGCAUACGUCUUUAGAGAGAAAGCGAGGCUGCAAAGCGGCGCGCUCUGGGAUGAGCCUGCGUCAGAUUAGCUAGUUGGUGGGGUAAAGGCCUACCAAGGCAAAGAUCUGUAGCUGGUCUGAGAGGACGACCAGCCACACUGGGACUGAGACACGGCCCAGACUCCUACGGGAGGCAGCAGUGGGGAAUAUUGGACAAUGGGGGGAACCCUGAUCCAGCGAUGCCGCGUGUGUGAAGAAGGCCUGCGGGUUGUAAAGCACUUUCAGUAGAGAGGAAGGCUAGAGGGUAAAUACCCCUUUAGAUUGACGUGACCUACAGAAGAAGCACCGGCUAACUCUG
This 484-nucleotide ribosomal RNA is filed under the name uncultured Gammaproteobacteria bacterium. Its description in RNAcentral is "bacterial SSU rRNA". It matches the Rfam family "Bacterial small subunit ribosomal RNA", at positions 30 to 505 of the family's 1533-position model. Lineage: Bacteria; Pseudomonadati; Pseudomonadota; Gammaproteobacteria. The record is from RNAcentral.